Molecule: ribosomal RNA, 2932 nt
Filed under: Escherichia coli
Lineage: Bacteria; Pseudomonadati; Pseudomonadota; Gammaproteobacteria; Enterobacterales; Enterobacteriaceae
Description: 23S ribosomal RNA
Rfam family: Bacterial large subunit ribosomal RNA
Source: RNAcentral
GGGUUGUGAGGUUAAGCGACUAAGCGUACACGGUGGAUGCCCUGGCAGUCAGAGGCGAUGAAGGACGUGCUAAUCUGCGAUAAGCGUCGGUGAGGUGAUAUGAACCGUUAUAACCGGCGAUUUCCGAAUGGGGAAACCCAGUGUGUUUCGACACACUAUCAUUAACUGAAUCCAUAGGUUAAUGAGGCGAACCGGGGGAACUGAAACAUCUAAGUACCCCGAGGAAAAGAAAUCAACCGAGAUUCCCCCAGUAGCGGCGAGCGAACGGGGAGGAGCCCAGAGCCUGAAUCAGUGUGUGUGUUAGUGGAAGCGUCUGGAAAGGCGCGCGAUACAGGGUGACAGCCCCGUACACAAAAAUGCACAUACUGUGAGCUCGAUGAGUAGGGCGGGACACGUGGUAUCCUGUCUGAAUAUGGGGGGACCAUCCUCCAAGGCUAAAUACUCCUGACUGACCGAUAGUGAACCAGUACCGUGAGGGAAAGGCGAAAAGAACCCCGGCGAGGGGAGUGAAAAAGAACCUGAAACCGUGUACGUACAAGCAGUGGGAGCCUCUUAAUGGGGUGACUGCGUACCUUUUGUAUAAUGGGUCAGCGACUUAUAUUCUGUAGCAAGGUUAACCGAAUAGGGGAGCCGAAGGGAAACCGAGUCUUAACUGGGCGUUAAGUUGCAGGGUAUAGACCCGAAACCCGGUGAUCUAGCUAUGGGCAGGUUGAAGGUUGGGUAACACUAACUGGAGGACCGAACCGACUAAUGUUGAAAAAUUAGCGGAUGACUUGUGGCUGGGGGUGAAAGGCCAAUCAAACCGGGAGAUAGCUGGUUCUCCCCGAAAGCUAUUUAGGUAGCGCCUCGUGAAUUCAUCUCCGGGGGUAGAGCACUGUUUCGGCAAGGGGGUCAUCCCGACUUACCAACCCGAUGCAAACUGCGAAUACCGGAGAAUGUUAUCACGGGAGACACACGGCGGGUGCUAACGUCCGUCGUGAAGAGGGAAACAACCCAGACCGCCAGCUAAGGUCCCAAAGUCAUGGUUAAGUGGGAAACGAUGUGGGAAGGCCCAGACAGCCAGGAUGUUGGCUUAGAAGCAGCCAUCAUUUAAAGAAAGCGUAAUAGCUCACUGGUCGAGUCGGCCUGCGCGGAAGAUGUAACGGGGCUAAACCAUGCACCGAAGCUGCGGCAGCGACGCUUAUGCGUUGUUGGGUAGGGGAGCGUUCUGUAAGCCUGUGAAGGUGGCCUGUGAGGGUUGCUGGAGGUAUCAGAAGUGCGAAUGCUGACAUAAGUAACGAUAAAGCGGGUGAAAAGCCCGCUCGCCGGAAGACCAAGGGUUCCUGUCCAACGUUAAUCGGGGCAGGGUGAGUCGACCCCUAAGGCGAGGCCGAAAGGCGUAGUCGAUGGGAAACAGGUUAAUAUUCCUGUACUUGGUGUUACUGCGAAGGGGGGACGGAGAAGGCUAUGUUGGCCGGGCGACGGUUGUCCCGGUUUAAGCGUGUAGGCUGGUUUUCCAGGCAAAUCCGGAAAAUCAAGGCUGAGGCGUGAUGACGAGGCACUACGGUGCUGAAGCGACAAAUGCCCUGCUUCCAGGAAAAGCCUCUAAGCAUCAGGUAACAUUAAAUCGUACCCCAAACCGACACAGGUGGUCAGGUAGAGAAUACCAAGGCGCUUGAGAGAACUCGGGUGAAGGAACUAGGCAAAAUGGUGCCGUAACUUCGGGAGAAGGCACGCUGAUAUGUAGGUGAAGCGACUUGCUCGUGGAGCUGAAAUCAGUCGAAGAUACCAGCUGGCUGCAACUGUUUAUUAAAAACACAGCACUGUGCAAACACGAAAGUGGACGUAUACGGUGUGACGCCUGCCCGGUGCCGGAAGGUUAAUUGAUGGGGUUAGCGGUAACGCGAAGCUCUUGAUCGAAGCCCCGGUAAACGGCGGCCGUAACUAUAACGGUCCUAAGGUAGCGAAAUUCCUUGUCGGGUAAGUUCCGACCUGCACGAAUGGCGUAAUGAUGGCCAGGCUGUCUCCACCCGAGACUCAGUGAAAUUGAACUCGCUGUGAAGAUGCAGUGUACCCGCGGCAAGACGGAAAGACCCCGUGAACCUUUACUAUAGCUUGACACUGAACAUUGAGCCUUGAUGUGUAGGAUAGGUGGGAGGCUUUGAAGUGUGGACGCCAGUCUGCAUGGAGCCGACCUUGAAAUACCACCCUUUAAUGUUUGAUGUUCUAACGUGGGCCCCUUACCGGGGUUGCGGACAGUGUCUGGUGGGUAGUUUGACUGGGGCGGUCUCCUCCUAAAGAGUAACGGAGGAGCACGAAGGUUGGCUAAUCCUGGUCGGACAUCAGGAGGUUAGUGCAAUGGCAUAAGCCAGCUUGACUGCGAGCGUGACGGCGCGAGCAGGUGCGAAAGCAGGUCAUAGUGAUCCGGUGGUUCUGAAUGGAAGGGCCAUCGCUCAACGGAUAAAAGGUACUCCGGGGAUAACAGGCUGAUACCGCCCAAGAGUUCAUAUCGACGGCGGUGUUUGGCACCUCGAUGUCGGCUCAUCACAUCCUGGGGCUGAAGUAGGUCCCAAGGGUAUGGCUGUUCGCCAUUUAAAGUGGUACGCGAGCUGGGUUUAGAACGUCGUGAGACAGUUCGGUCCCUAUCUGCCGUGGGCGCUGGAGAACUGAGGGGGGCUGCUCCUAGUACGAGAGGACCGGAGUGGACGCAUCACUGGUGUUCGGGUUGUCAUGCCAAUGGCACUGCCCGGUAGCUAAAUGCGGAAGAGAUAAGUGCUGAAAGCAUCUAAGCACGAAACUUGCCCCGAGAUGAGUUCUCCCUGACUCCUUGAGAGUCCUGAAGGAACGUUGAAGACGACGACGUUGAUAGGCCGGGUGUGUAAGCGCAGCGAUGCGUUGAGCUAACCGGUACUAAUGAACCGUGAGGCUUAACCUUACAACGCCGAAGGUGUUU